Molecule: long non-coding RNA, 485 nt
Filed under: Citrus sinensis (sweet orange)
Lineage: Eukaryota; Viridiplantae; Streptophyta; Magnoliopsida; Sapindales; Rutaceae
Description: long non-coding RNA (CSIN_LNC001724)
Source: RNAcentral
CAAUUGCCUCCACUUCUCGCACAAUACGCAAGUGACUCCUAUUUCUUGUACUUCUAAAAGCCAUACGCUCAAGCAAGUGUGUUGUCCCAAAUGAGAUUGGUGACUCAUAAAUUGAACCACAACCAACAUAUAACGAUAUUGAGGCUACAGGACUCUGGUAAGGAAACAGAACAAAAUAACCACUUUUUUCAUUAAAAAUUUAAAAAAUAAAGAAAAACAAUUUUCCCAAAAUCAAGAGACCUUAGGCAUACACAUACAUACCACUGAUGUUUCCGAGGCAAUUUUGACACCAUUUGGUAGAGUAGAAAUCUUGGUUUUACCAGGUUCAACAUAAUCAGGCAAUGAAGGUGGAAGAGAGACACCCGGAAGUGGAAAGUCCAGAGAAGGUGAAGAACUGGACCGUUCCCCAGUCAACCAGCUAAAGAGACCACCCGAAGAGGAUGAAGUUGAAGCAACGGCACUGGAACUUGCAAAUCUUGUGGCUG